RNAcentral lists this ribosomal RNA (243 nucleotides) under uncultured Actinomycetales bacterium. RNAcentral's name for it is "partial 16S ribosomal RNA". It matches the Rfam family "Bacterial small subunit ribosomal RNA", at positions 89 to 334 of the family's 1533-position model. The record is from RNAcentral. Lineage: Bacteria; Bacillati; Actinomycetota; Actinomycetes; Actinomycetales.
GCUCGAGUGGCGAACGGGUGAGUAACACGUGAGUAACCUGCCCUUGACUUUGGGAUAACUUCAGGAAACUGGGGCUAAUACCGGAUAGGAGCUCCUGCUGCAUGGUGGGGGUUGGAAAGUUUCGGCGGUUGGGGAUGGAUCGCGGCUUAUCAGCUUGUUGGUGGGGUAGUGGCUUACCAAGGCUUUGACGGGUAGCCGGCCUGAGAGGGUGACCGGCCACAUUGGGACUGAGAUACGGCCCAG